Pelobates cultripes (western spadefoot toad) is the source of this 3579-nucleotide non-coding RNA. NCBI's taxonomy places the organism in Eukaryota, Metazoa, Chordata, Amphibia, Anura, Pelobatidae. The record is from the annotation of a GenBank genome assembly.
CUCAUAAAUCCGUUAUUCGUGGGAUAUUAUUGAGUAGAGCAUCUUACCUCAAGAAAAAAAAUCAUACAGCACUGAUUACUCUCCUUAAAAAAACUACAGGAUCUUCAUAGAGAAAACCAAGCAGACUCCACCCAAGCUCUUCAACAGCAACUUCUGGAAGUGCGUCAAGAGAUUAAUGCAAUCCAUUCCAAGAAAGCUAAUUUAGCAAUAAAGAAAUUAAAGGCGACAUCUUACUCUAUGGGAAAUAAGGCUACUAAAGUUCUGGCACAAAGACUGAGGAACAAACAAGCACAAGCAAGAAUUCCAUUUAUAAAGACGCAUGGGGGCCAUAAAGUUAUGCAACCAGUACAGAUAUGUAAUGAAUUUGCACAAUACUAUACGACUUUAUAUAAUUUGAAAGAUCAGCAUAUUCUACCUCAACCCACGCAUAUAUCUACACGCUCAUACCUGGCAAACAUCUCCCUUCCUCAAAUAACACCAAAACAUUUAGAAAAACUAUGUGCACCUAUCACUACAGAUGAUGUGUUGCACCUAAUUGAAAAUAUGCCAAAAGGGAAAACACCAGGUCCAGAUGGUUAUACUAGUGAAUAUUAUGCUACAUUCAAACAUGAAUUAAUUUUAGCUCUUACUAGCUUUUUUAACAACGCCACUAGAUUGGGAUCUUUCCCAACUGAGUUCCUGUCUUCCCAUGUAAUUACUAUCCCUAAACCGGGGAAAUCGUCAACGAUGUGUCAAAAUUUUAGACCAAUAUCUCUUUUAAAUGUUGAUGCAAAACUUUAUGCAAAGAUCUUUGCAGAACGACUCAGUAAUAUCAUACCGACAUUAAUACACACGGACCAAGUGGGAUUUGUGACGUGCAGACAGGGACCAGAUAACACUCGGAAUGUGCUAGAUUUAUAUGGAAUUUAAAAACGCACCAAACAGGAGAGUAUUAUGAUAUCCCUUGAUGCCGAAAAGGCGUUUUACCGUCUGAACUGGUAAUUCCUUCAGGAAACUUUAUCGGCCUAUGGAUUUCCACCUUUUUUUCUUUCUGCAGUUAAAGCUCUAUACAGUGCACCUUCAGCAACAGUAUUGUAUGCAGGUUUCCAGUCGCAAGAUUUUUCAAUCACUAAUGGGACCCGUCAGGGAUGCCCAUUAUCUCCACUUCUAUAUGUGCUAGCUUUGGAACCUCUCGCAAUAUCAAUACUGAGAAACUGUAGCAUCCAUGGUGUGUUAGUAGGCAACAAGGAGUAUAAACUUAGUUUAUUUGCAGAUGAUGUAUUUCUUACAAUAACGCAACCAUUUAUAACACUCCCUUCUUUGCAUAAAGAACUGCAAAUAUACAGUCAACAUUCAUACUACAAACUUAAUAUCGUAAAAACGCAAACUAUGUGUCUUAACACUACUAAAGCAAUGGAAGAUAGAUUAAAAGCAAGCUAUCAGUAUGAUUUGAGAGAAGAUUACUUAAUAUUUUUAGGUAUCAGAAUAACCAAUAAAGAGAAAGAACUCUUCUCAGCUAACUAUACGAAGCAUUUGAAAGAAAUUGAUAACCAGCUGGACUCAUGGAAGCAUCUGUUUUUAUCUUGGGUAGGAAGGAUUGCAGCACUCAAAAUGUCAAUCCUACCAAAGAUUUUAUAUCUUUUUAGAUCAUUGCAUAUUAAACUUCCACAAAAGUACAUAUCGUCUCUCCAAGCAUCUAUUGUAUGUUUCAGCUGGGGUGGCAAACACCCUAGAGUACCCAAGGCUCUACUUCUGAGAAAUGUGAAGAACGGAGGAAUGGGAAUACCAAAUAUAAGAGCAUAUUAUCACUCAGCCAUCUUAAUGAAUGUUAUCAGCGCCCAUUCAACUGAGGCAAAGAAGGGAAAAUAUGUUAUCUUCCACUAAACAUCUUCUUAGAAUCUGGGACACUUGCAGGGACAAAAUAUGUUCAGCAUACCUAUUGGCCCCUCGCGACCCUAAUUAAAAUAUUAUUCUAUUGUAAUGGUACGUUUCCCUAUCAGAAAUGGGAAAAAGCAGGUAUCACACAUUUAUUUCAUUUAUGCAACAAAGAGGGCCUUAAAUGUUUUCCAGCAUUGCAAGAAAAAUUUUCAUUGCCCUCAAAUUUUACAUUUGCUUAUCUUCAAAUCAAAGCGAUUGUAACUAUAACCAAGAUUUCAAUAGGAAGAAUCAACACUACAAGCUUCUAUAAUGGAAUUUGAAGAACAAUGUUUAUCGUUACUCCGUCCUCCAAAAAAGACACUGUCUAUCUGCUAUCAAAAACUUGCUAACCCCGCUGUGCAGAGCAAUUGGAAAUUCAUGCAAGACUGGCAAGAAGACUUACAAGUUAAUAUUCCUUUGACUGAAUGGAAACAAAUUUUUACUGCUCACAUAGGACUAACCACCAGUAUCGCCCAUCUUGAAGCCGAACGGAAAAUUCUUUACAGGUGGUACUUGGUAACAACACAUCUAAACUCUAUGUGUCCUGCAAUGCCAGACCAGUGUUGGCGACGUCAUAAAUGUAAAGGUACUAUGUUACAUGUUUGGUGGUCAUGCUAAGCUGUAAACUCUCUAUGGAACGACAUUACAAAGAUGAUAAAACAAGUUACAAAUAUCGAGUUGUCCCACGAGCCUAAAAUCAUACUGCUACGAUUACUUCCAAGUAAUGUACCUAAGUCAAUCAAGAAAAUGAUUUUCCUCUUAUUGAGUACAGCGUCUAUACUAAUUGCUAGACAAUGGAAAACCAAGGUUUUACCUUCUCGGCGAGAAAUUGAAGAAGUAAUGACCUCAACAGUGUAACACGAAUUGUUAAUGUGGAAUCAGAGGAAAAUAGGGAAAAUGAGCCCCUGCGUAGAUCAAAUGUGGCGGACAUAUUUACUAACGGAACACUAAUUAAAUCUUUGUACAUCUAGAUAAAUAUAGAGGCCUCAAUAUGGAAUACAUUUUCUGAUUAUAAUCAAAUCCAUAGAGGGUCUCAUCUAAUCAGUUAAGCAAUAAAAAUUGAUAUCAUAAAUUAUCCCAAGCUAUUGUAAGCUAGAAUAGGGGACAAGUUAACAGACUACUACUUAGGUACCAUUCUCACGUGAGUAAGUUGCUUCUUUCCUUUUACCUAGUUAAUAGGUUAUUGUUUCCCUUCCCUUUUCUCUCCCUUCCCUCUUCUCCCCUCCUUUUUUUUUCUUUUUCAUCAAUAACGAGGUUUAGAUAAAGUACAAGAUCAUUAUCUUGAAUAAUGGUAUAGCUUUUAGUAGUUCAAGAUAAUUAGAAUCCAUGGGUAACCAAAAUUUGGAAAUAUGUCUCCCUCGUUACUAGGCAUGGUUGGCACAGUGAUACCCUUUGGAGUGACAACUGCUUUUAUCACUGGUUAAAGCAAAGGAGGCAAUAUAAGGGUUAGUUAAAGAAGUAUUUGUGAAUGUGUGUAUCAAUUACCAUUGUAAUUUACUUUAUAUAUUUUAAGACACACAAGCUAUAUAAGAUAGGUCACGUUUUGAAUUUUGACUAUAUUAAGUGAUGAACUAUAUGUUACAAUAAUUGAAGAUAUGUAUUGAGAUAAAUGAUCUCGUUUGGAUGUUCCCUUCCCCUUUUUUCUUUCUGUAUCCUUUAUUAUUUGGAAAAAUAGAACAAAAG